UACGGAGGGUGCGAGCGUUGUCCGGAAUCAUUGGGCGUAAAGGGCGCGUAGGCGGUCCCUCAAGUCAGGCGUGAAAGCCCCGGGCUCAACCUGGGAACCGCGCUUGAGACUGGUGGGCUAGAGUUCGGGAGAGGAUGGUGGAAUUCCCAGUGUAGAGGUGAAAUUCGUAGAUAUUGGGAAGAACACCGAUGGCGAAGGCAGCCAUCUGGACCGACACUGACGCUGAGGCGCGAAAGCGUGGGGAGCAAACAGG
This 253-nucleotide ribosomal RNA is filed under the name uncultured bacterium. RNAcentral's name for it is "partial 16S ribosomal RNA". It matches the Rfam family "Bacterial small subunit ribosomal RNA", at positions 524 to 776 of the family's 1533-position model. The record is from RNAcentral.